AUUGAACGCUGGCGGCAGGCCUAACACAUGCCAGUCGAGCGGAUGAAGGGAGCUUGCUCCUGGAUUCAGCGGCGGACGGGUGAGUAAUGCCUAGGAAUCUGCCUGGUAGUGGGGGAUAACGUCCGGAAACGGGCGCUAAUACCGCAUACGUCCUGAGGGAGAAAGUGGGGGAUCUUCGGACCUCACGCUAUCAGAUGAGCCUAGGUCGGAUUAGCUAGUUGGUGGGGUAAAGGCCUACCAAGGCGACGAUCCGUAACUGGUCUGAGAGGAUGAUCAGUCACACUGGAACUGAGACAUGGUCCAGACGCCUACGGGAGGCAGCAGUGGGGAAUAUUGGACAAUGGGCGAAAGCCUGAUCCAGCCAUGCCGCGUGUGUGAAGAAGGUCUUCGGAUUGUAAAGCACUUUAAGUUGGGAGGAAGGGCAGUAAGUUAAUACCUUGCUGUUUUGACGUUACCAACAGAAUAAGCACCGGCUAACUUCGUG
Molecule: ribosomal RNA, 484 nt
Filed under: uncultured bacterium
Lineage: Bacteria
Description: partial 16S ribosomal RNA
Rfam family: Bacterial small subunit ribosomal RNA
Source: RNAcentral